CCCUGCUCGUUUUAACCAUCUCUUGCAGGUUUUCGUGACUGUUCUGAUUCCUGUUGCUGCAGCCAGCGUGGAUCCGGAUGCCGUGGCUACAGAGGCUUGUUACUUUCUCAUGCUGGAUCCCUCAAAUCCAAGAGCUACUUGGCAGUUUCCAAGGCAACCACCUGUGGAAUAAUUAAAAAGGAUGAAGUGUUAGCCUGCCAGAUAUAAGGAAUUCUUGCCUGGAGAGAGCAUUUCACUUUCAUCUGCCUUGAAGAACCAAAUGUGCUUCUGCCAGCAAAGUUAAGAAAAAGGAAAGGUGGCUGAGUUGUACAAGUGAACCAGGACAACCCAAAAUGUGACUCAAAGCAGGAGGGAGCAGAUGGCAGCAUCGUUAGCUGGUGGCCACAGCCUUCCCAGAUGAGUUUUGGAAUUUCCAUCAAAGUCGGGAUUAGGCUCAGGAUAUGCCGGUGGCACAGAGCACGCCGGGGGAGCGUGGAAGAAGAGGAAAUCAUUCAUAGCGACUCAUCUCGUGGUUGGGUGCUGAUCUCACAGAGGUGUCCUGCAUAUGCCAAAGGACGAACGUGUUGUUUGAGGGAAAAGCUGCUCAUAAAUCUGUGCAAACUGAAAGAUUCUGAAGACAAACCUGUCAGUAGUGAAUUGUCCCAGAAGCACAUGGAGAAAGUUGUACAUGGUGGAGGCUGUUUUUUCUGAGGCUGAAACUCAUCUCAACUCCUCAUGACCAGCUGAGCAAGAGAGAUGGGAUUUGAUGCUAUCCAAGGUGUAAUUCCACAGUUCAUGUCUUUUGCUACUGCCAGCUUAAUAAGUUUCUGCCCACUCCCAGCCAUUCAUUUCCAGCCCAGCAGCAAUGCAGUGCCAUCUCUUCCCUGACCGUGCGGAAAACCAGAUGGCUGAAAAUAACUCAGUCAAGAAAAGAAACCCUUUAUUUUAUUUUUUUCCUUUGAAUUAGAUUCAUUUGAAUGAUGCCCAUGGGCAGUCGUAUUGGUACAACUGAAGGUGACAUGAACUGCAGCAUCAGAGGCAGCAGUGAGCACUGGAGGGUGUCCCAAUGCUAAGUGAUCUUGCUGUCAACAAAAAUCUGCUCUGGGACCAUAUCCUGGAUGAAGGGGUGUUUCACUAGCCACAGGAUUAUUUAUUGAACUGCUGCUUUUCAUUUAUUUUAUUAAGGAAGAUUAACAUCUUCUUGUUUGGGCAGGUUUAUUUUUUUUUUUACUUGAGGAGAUAAACCAUCUCUGUGAGAAGUCAGUCAGCUUUGUGGACAGCCAUGAAUGUCAAUAAAGUCUUGGCAAACACAGUAGGCA
RNAcentral lists this long non-coding RNA (1298 nucleotides) under Lepidothrix coronata (blue-crowned manakin). RNAcentral's name for it is "lncRNA (ENSLCOG00000010285.1)". Lineage: Eukaryota; Metazoa; Chordata; Aves; Passeriformes; Pipridae. The record is from RNAcentral.